AAGAGCGUAAAAAUAAAAAUGGAU
Molecule: small nuclear RNA, 24 nt
Filed under: Arabidopsis thaliana (thale cress)
Lineage: Eukaryota; Viridiplantae; Streptophyta; Magnoliopsida; Brassicales; Brassicaceae
Description: snRNA_00429
Source: RNAcentral